Camelina sativa (false flax) is the source of this 1121-nucleotide non-coding RNA. The record is from RefSeq and is a predicted model, not a curated record. NCBI's taxonomy places the organism in Eukaryota, Viridiplantae, Streptophyta, Magnoliopsida, Brassicales, Brassicaceae.
CACUUUCAUUUAUUCCUCUCUCUGGCUAUUCUGAAACUGAAAAAAUCUGUCUCUCAUCAAAUCAUUAUCAUAAUUACCUUUCUUCUUCGUCUUCGUCAUCUACAGCUCUUCUCUCUGUCAAACAUGGUGUAGAGAUCGACCUUUUAGCUGUCCAAACCCUAAUCUCGAGUUUUAGACGGAUCUGAAGAUUGUAGCGGCGGCUAGAUCAGAGCCUGGUGGAAUUUGAACGACGAUGUCGAUGAUGAUAUUGACUCCGCCAACGGUAUUACCGCAGUUGAUGUAGUGUCUCUCAAAAUACUCGAUUCCACUAAAAGCAGACUCUGCUAUGAACGAGAUCUACUUGCCAUUGUUGAGGCUGGUGAACAGGUUUGUUCUUGUUCUUGUUCUUGGUUCAGGAAGUAUCGGUUAAACACUUGACUGAUUUAUAGCGGCGGCUUGUUCUUGUUCUCUGCUUAUUGUUCUCCAACCUUAAACCGUAUUAGGUUGCUUAUGUAUUGGUCCAAUUGCAAAAUAAAACUGCUUUUACUACUCUGGCUGUUUCUGCCACAAUGGAAGCUAGUUUGGAUUCGUUAUGUCUCAACUGUGUGCUGAUGUGUUGUGAUGGCUUGAUUGCAACAUUUGGUGAUCUGAAUCAUCUAAUCUCUUCAACCAUGAGUGGGGUUACAUGUUGAGGUUAGUUUCAUGGGCAAAUAUGUUGAGUGGCUUCUCUCCACUGGUGGCUUCUCCAUGAACACGUAAGAGGAUGUGAAAUGUCAGGGAUGCUUCAACAUAACCACUGUGUUCAGCCAUUCUCAAACAGUUGUAGUGUGUGGAAACUGUCAAGACUGUUCCGUGCCAGCCCUGGGUGGUAAAGCAAGGCUCCAAGAAGGAUGCUCUUUCAGGAAAAAGUGGGAUUGAGAUGUCACGAAAUCAAUCAUCUUUUUCACAAAUGUUUUCUGUUGAGAGGAUUCAGAUCUUUCUUUAGUUUUGUUUUCUUGUUUUUAGUAGUUUUAAUGUCUAUGACUUUUUUUUUUGUUUGCUUGUAAAGGGAUUAUGAAACUACUAGAUGAGUAGUCGAUUAGAACUCUUGUCUUGUUGAAACAGUUUCUGCUUUCUUUUAAGGUUUAAUCUUUUUUCAUGCU